RNAcentral lists this long non-coding RNA (347 nucleotides) under Ananas comosus (pineapple). RNAcentral describes it as "long non-coding RNA (ACOM_LNC007621)". The record is from RNAcentral. Lineage: Eukaryota; Viridiplantae; Streptophyta; Magnoliopsida; Poales; Bromeliaceae.
GCAAAAGUUAGUGUAAUACGGUUCUAUCGUAUCUGGCCGAUCACUUUGAAGGGAUCGGGCCUCUAGAGAAUUAAGAGGUAGAGAAAUAGAGAGAGAAGGUAGAGAAAAGACAAGACAUGAGGAAAAAAAGACAAUAUUGCUUGAUUAUUUCUUAUAAUUCCGGAUUACAUUAUAUAGAGCCCGUAUGCUCCAAUUACUUCUAAUCAUACUAACUUAACAUAAAUAAACUCAUUCCCAAAUAUAUUCCUAAAUAACAAAAUAAUCAUCUAUUCCUAGCAUAUUCCUAAUAUAAUAAUAUUUAUUUCCAUAACUGAAAAUCCUAAUCUAGGAAUGUAUCAUUCCACAGC